Molecule: non-coding RNA, 118 nt
Filed under: Pycnococcus provasolii
Lineage: Eukaryota; Viridiplantae; Chlorophyta; Pseudoscourfieldiophyceae; Pseudoscourfieldiales; Pycnococcaceae
Source: RNAcentral
GCGGCGGACCGAACCGCAUUGGGCAGGGCAUUGAAUUUGACUACUGCUGCUGCCACGCUUCGUAUGCGCUGCGCGCCGCCGGCUUCGAGACGAUCAUGGUCAACUCGAACCCAGAGAC